RNAcentral lists this ribosomal RNA (259 nucleotides) under uncultured bacterium. RNAcentral's name for it is "partial 16S ribosomal RNA". It matches the Rfam family "Bacterial small subunit ribosomal RNA", at positions 96 to 353 of the family's 1533-position model. The record is from RNAcentral.
CGGCGGACGGGUGAGUAACGCGUGGGUAACCUACCCUGUACAGGGGGAUAACAGUCAGAAAUGACUGCUAAUACCGCAUAGGACCACAGCACCGCAUGGUGCAGGGGUAAAAACUCCGGUGGUACAGGAUGGACCCGCGUCUGAUUAGCUGGUUGGUGAGGUAACAGCUCACCAAGGCGACGAUCGGUAGCCGGACUGAGAGGUUGAACGGCCACAUUGGGACUGAGACACGGCCCAGACUCCUACGGGAGGCAGCAUG